This is a long non-coding RNA of Oryctolagus cuniculus (rabbit), 2110 nucleotides long. Lineage: Eukaryota; Metazoa; Chordata; Mammalia; Lagomorpha; Leporidae. The record is from Ensembl.
CGCCCGCCCUUGGCGGUGCCACAAGCCCUUUGCGGAGGCGGCUGAGCCCAGCCCGGAAGGUUCUGGAAAGGUGCCCCGUUCCCGGUACUCAGAGCUCGGAGCUCGGAGCAGGGCUCCUCCCAGCUCUCUCGAGGCCUGGCGUCUGCUGUGGGAUGAUGGAAACUGCCAGCCGGCCCGCGCGGCUCCAGCCAGCCCUGGGCCCUUAUCUGCCAUCAGUGUGGCCGGGCAGCGCUCCGAGGUCUGGACAGCCAGCGGGAGACCCGGCGUGCCCAUGACCUCGGCAGGCACUGGUGUGGAACGCCUGCCGGGCUCUGCCAGCGGCCUGGAUGGCCUAUCCUUGGGGCUGGGGGCUCACCUUGUCCUGUCCUCUCCCCAUGUGGGACCCCAGCACGUCGCCCGCCUCUGAACCAGGCACCUGCUGUGUGCGGGCAGCGCGGUGCUAAUCCCUGUGGGUGGAGAGGCUGAGACGCGGAGGCUGACAGCCUCGGAAGCUGGAGUCGAGCCAGGUCCCCAGGGCCCCUCGAGAACCCCAGAGCCCUGGCCACACCCCCAGCUCCCAUGGACACCAGCGGGGCCGCUGAGGUGGGCGUGGGUGUGGCCCGCGGGGAGGCCUCCGGGUCACUCCCAUGGACACAGCCCCAUGCCAGUCCCUGGGGGCACCCAUCCUCACUGCGGGCGGCGGACAGCACCUGGCAAAGUCGCUUCCUGCAGACCUGCUCUGGCUGCUGUGGGGAGCGUGGCACCAACACCCACGUCCUCUGGCCAUGUCCUGGGCUCCGGCCCAACUGUUUCUGAGCCAAUGGUGGCGAAGCAAGAGUCCGGAAGAGCCCCGCCCGCCGGCACUCUCCCUGGCUGUCAAUCAGCUCGCCUGUUCUUCUGUCUUUGGGCGCAGGGUCUGCCCCAGUGGUGAACCCCAGGGGAUCUACAGAGCCAGGGACGAAGGGCGCACGGAGCCCCCGGCACCCAGCUGGCCUGGCGCGGCUCCUGUUCGGAGCCGAGAGGGGAGUUUGAAAAAGCCGAUGUUGGUUCCCACGACAUCCCCAAGGGUGCCGCAGCGGCACAUGGAUGAGACUCCUCUGGUGAGCAUCUAUUGAGCGCCUGCUGUGUGCAAGCACUGGCCGAGGGGAAGGUAGAGACCCUGGGAAGAGAGCCCAACGCCUGUCACAUCAGCCAGCGGAGUCCAAUCAGACAGCGAGCCCUACGGCAGCCGCUGUGGCCCUGGGGAUGGUGCCCGGCGCUGCCCCGGGGCCUGUCCUCUGCCCUGCCCAAGGCCAGCUUCCACAUCAGCCGGCAUGGUAGGGGCCCUGGCGCGACACGCGGUGGGAGGCGAGCACUCCCGCGUCGCAGGACGGUGGGGCCGGGGUGGUGAGGGGACCCUGCCCGGCCGGGCCUGUGAUGCCGGGACCUCCUCCGGCCCUUCUGGCUCCUGCACAUGGUGCGGGAGGCCGGUGACCAUAAGCCAGAUGCCACAGACAUGCCAGGGUCACCAGGGGACCUGAGUGACAGGCCACCCCGGGCAGGGAGUGCACAGGGACUCCCCAAGACUACCCAACAGGUCCAAGAAGACGCCUCCGUCACACGGCUCCAAGCAGCUGGUGGGGGCGGCCCUGCCUCCUGAGGGGCCGGAGAGGGCUGCCAUGGGCCUUGUGCCAGCGCGAGGCUGGGCGCCCACGUGAAUUCCACCUGGCAGGGCAGACCCACCAGUGCGAGGACGAAUGACCGGGGAAGGAGUGAUGCUGAGGGCCAGGCCCCGCCGUGCGCCGGCUCACCGCCAGCUCACCGCCCGCUGCCCUCGGCCUCCCUCCCUUGUCUACUUCCCUACCCUCGUCUCGGCGACACUGUGUGGGUAGGGCUGUCCCCAGACCCCAACUCGUCCCAGGAGCCGAGCCAGGAGGGGCCUCGGCCAGAGACGCAAGCUCGGGAGCUCGGCAGGUGCAGGCCUGGUGGUGAGGGGGGCGGGGCCGGGCCGCAGGGCUCCGGAGCGCCAAGGCCGGCUUCCGGGCCCCGGGGACCGUGCGGCCGCAUCGCAGCCGCAGAGAUGAGCCGUGAGAGCCUUUCUGUUAAUUUUCCAGCCCAGACAAAAUCAAUAAAUUCUGGAAACCUGGGAGCA